GCGGGGGUGUCAGAGCCAGGUCAAAUGAGCAGGACUGAGGCUCCUGUGCCUUUAGUGGCUGCGUGGGUUCAAAUCCCAUCCCCCGCA
RNAcentral lists this transfer RNA (87 nucleotides) under Candidatus Burarchaeum sp. RNAcentral's name for it is "tRNA-Leu". It matches the Rfam family "tRNA". Rfam says of the family: Transfer RNA (tRNA) molecules are approximately 80 nucleotides in length. Their secondary structure includes four short double-helical elements and three loops (D, anti-codon, and T loops). Further hydrogen bonds mediate the characteristic L-shaped molecular structure. tRNAs have two regions of fundamental functional importance: the anti-codon, which is responsible for specific mRNA codon recognition, and the 3' end, to which the tRNAs corresponding amino acid is attached (by aminoacyl-tRNA synthetases). tRNAs cope with the degeneracy of the genetic code in two manners: having more than one tRNA (with a specific anti-codon) for a particular amino acid; and 'wobble' base-pairing, i.e. permitting non-standard base-pairing at the 3rd anti-codon position. The record is from RNAcentral. Lineage: Archaea; Nanobdellati; Microcaldota; Candidatus Micrarchaeia; Candidatus Burarchaeales; Candidatus Burarchaeaceae.